This 46-nucleotide non-coding RNA is filed under the name unclassified sequences. RNAcentral describes it as "SAM-SAH-Weickhmann-2018 RNA". It matches the Rfam family "SAM/SAH riboswitch aptamer". The record is from RNAcentral.
CUGCCACAACGGCUUCCUGGCGUGGCGGAAUUCACAUAAUGGAGCG